Molecule: long non-coding RNA, 465 nt
Filed under: Anser cygnoides (Swan goose)
Lineage: Eukaryota; Metazoa; Chordata; Aves; Anseriformes; Anatidae
Description: lncRNA (ENSACDG00005018762.1)
Source: RNAcentral
AUGCCUAAGAGGAAAAAGGAAUACUAUUUCAGGAUUCACGAUGGGACUGCGCUUGCCCGUGCUCUGCCCUAUGAAACUCACUGGAAGAGCAUCCCACACGCUGGGAUGGUUGAGCAACUCGACUCCUUUACACAGAGGAACAACGAGGUAGAGAAGGUUCCCGUGGGGAGCCAGGCAGAGCUACCUGGCUCGCUUGGGUUCAGCUGGCUGUCCCUCCUGGCCGCCUCUGAGGUCACUGGUCCCCUUGUUGGUGAGGAACUUGAGGCUACACCUUGGAGGAGCAUCUGGUCAUGGAUGAUCUAUCCGAAGGCUGAGGACACUGGAGGAUAUGAGGGCCCUGGGCUGGGACAUGCAUCACUCCGGAGUACGGCCAAGGCUCUUCUACACCAUCGCUGCAUCCAGGAGCACCAGGUCCUGCACGGCAAAACAGAAGCGGUCCCAGAACAUCCCCAGCGAUGGACAUAA